RNAcentral lists this ribosomal RNA (413 nucleotides) under Staphylococcus delphini. RNAcentral describes it as "bacterial SSU rRNA". It matches the Rfam family "Bacterial small subunit ribosomal RNA", at positions 1129 to 1533 of the family's 1533-position model. The record is from RNAcentral. Lineage: Bacteria; Bacillati; Bacillota; Bacilli; Caryophanales; Staphylococcaceae.
AGUUGGGCACUCUAAGUUGACUGCCGGUGACAAACCGGAGGAAGGUGGGGAUGACGUCAAAUCAUCAUGCCCCUUAUGAUUUGGGCUACACACGUGCUACAAUGGACAAUACAAAGGGCAGCAAAACCGCGAGGUCAAGCAAAUCCCAUAAAGUUGUUCUCAGUUCGGAUUGUAGUCUGCAACUCGACUACAUGAAGCUGGAAUCGCUAGUAAUCGUAGAUCAGCAUGCUACGGUGAAUACGUUCCCGGGUCUUGUACACACCGCCCGUCACACCACGAGAGUUUGUAACACCCGAAGCCGGUGGAGUAACCAUUUUGGAGCUAGCCGUCGAAGGUGGGACAAAUGAUUGGGGUGAAGUCGUAACAAGGUAGCCGUAUCGGAAGGUGCGGCUGGAUCACCUCCUUUCUAAGGA